AAAGGAAUAGACGGGGGCCCGCACAAGCGGAGGAACAUGUGGUUUAAUUCGAUGAUACGCGAGGAACCUUACCCGGGCUUGAAAGUUAGCGACGGACCUUGAAAGGGGUCUUCUCUUCGGAGCGCGAAACUAGGUGCUGCAUGGUUGUCGUCAGCUCGUGCCGUGAGGUGUCGGGUUAAGUCCCAUAACGAGCGCAACCCUUAUCGUCAGUUACCAUCGAGUAAAGUCGGGGACUCUGGCGAGACUGCCGGUGUAAGCCGAGAGGAAGGUGGGGAUGACGUCAAAUCAGCACGGCCCUUACGUCCGGGGCGACACACGUGUUACAAUGGUCGGUACAGAGGGUCGCUACCCCGCGAGGGGGUGCCAAUCUCGAAAGCCGAUCUCAGUUCGGAUUGGAGGCUGAAACUCGCCUCCAUGAAGUUGGAUUCGCUAGUAAUCGCGCAUCAGCCAUGGCGCGGUGAAUACGUUCCCGGGCCUUGUACACACCGCCCGU
Molecule: ribosomal RNA, 493 nt
Filed under: uncultured bacterium
Lineage: Bacteria
Description: bacterial SSU rRNA
Rfam family: Bacterial small subunit ribosomal RNA
Source: RNAcentral